Molecule: non-coding RNA, 26 nt
Filed under: Homo sapiens (human)
Lineage: Eukaryota; Metazoa; Chordata; Mammalia; Primates; Hominidae
Source: RNAcentral
UCCAGGCCCGGGGAAGGAGCCUCUGC